Molecule: non-coding RNA, 45 nt
Organism: Schistosoma mansoni
Lineage: Eukaryota; Metazoa; Platyhelminthes; Trematoda; Strigeidida; Schistosomatidae
Source: Rfam
AUCCAGCUGAUGAGUCCCGAAUAGAACGGUACGCGUGUCCUGGAU